Non-coding RNA from Anas platyrhynchos (mallard), 613 nucleotides. The record is from RefSeq and is a predicted model, not a curated record. NCBI's taxonomy places the organism in Eukaryota, Metazoa, Chordata, Aves, Anseriformes, Anatidae.
CACCAGCUUUGAUUCAUUCAGUGCUAGGACUGGUACCUAAUGCUGGGUGUUGGGAAAAUUGCUGUUCUGGGGAGAUAUUUUGGUGGGUGAUGAUAAAAAAAGGAUGGAUGUUAAUUUUCCCAGAGUGGAUAGGAGUCAUGGAAUUUCUGGAAGGAGUCAAAAGUAAAAAUGACAGAAGGAGAUGGAGUUUCCAGCCUUAUGAAUUAAGUUGUGUGCAUCUGUAACGGAAGGACGUCUGUCUCGGUGGCAGCAAUAGCUCUUUUGCUCCUGGAGAACUCUUCCUCUUGACAGAGGUCUACAAACAGAUUUGCAAAGCCAAAGAGAAAAAUUGCUCUCUCUCAUGCAGCAUUCAACUUUCCAUUUUCUUCUGGUUUCUGAAUGUAGAAUUGCAUUUUAUUUUAUUCACUUGGAAAUCCUGCUCUUUAAAAUGAAGAGCUAUUCAAAACACAUAAAAGAUACUGCGAGACACAUAAGUGUUUUUAUCUGCAACCAAUUUUACUGAAAGACUGGAGAAAAGAUGUGGCACAUCCCUUGUAUGAAAUGUUGUAUAAAGAUAUUAAGGGUGUGUGUCCAUACUGCUUAAUAAAGGGACCACAAAAUAUCAAAAAAAGGA